GGGAGACGGAAGCAGAUGCUGGGUUGUCGAGGCUGCUUCAAGAUGUCAGGUUACGAAGGAUGACAUCAUAAAUUUCCAUGAAAUUUUGGAAACUCCUAGCCGGCUAAACUGUUACAGAGGUCAGAUAUCCGUCUCGCUCGCUUUCUUCAAUCCAAUGAUUGAGAUUUAACCUUCGUAAUGAUCAUGUAAACACACACAGG
RNAcentral lists this long non-coding RNA (200 nucleotides) under Elaeis guineensis (African oil palm). RNAcentral describes it as "long non-coding RNA (EGUI_LNC000388)". Lineage: Eukaryota; Viridiplantae; Streptophyta; Magnoliopsida; Arecales; Arecaceae. The record is from RNAcentral.